CUUGCGCUUAUUGCAAUAAGCGCUGCGCACCACGCCUUGUCCUACGCCUUUUUAGGCGAUGACAAAGCGCGGUGACGGUAUUGAGAUACAGUCUGGACCAAAGUGGGGGACCUUAGGGCCUCACGCCAUCGGAUGAACCCAGAUGGGAUUAGCUAGUAGGUGGGGUAACGGCUCACCUAGGCGACGAUCCCUAGCUGGUCUGAGAGGAUGACCAGCCACACUGGAACUGAGAAACGGUCCAG
Molecule: ribosomal RNA, 242 nt
Filed under: uncultured bacterium
Lineage: Bacteria
Description: partial 16S ribosomal RNA
Rfam family: Bacterial small subunit ribosomal RNA
Source: RNAcentral